CAUACUGUUUGGCUGUAUAGCCUAUUAUAUUUUAGUUAUAACCUUAGCGUUAAAGAACAGAAAGCGCACGUGGUUGAAUAUAUCAGUUUUAUAUUAUAAAUUUGUAAACUAAUAUGACGUGAAACGAUUAUCUACAUAAAAAUGAUAGGAAUGGUAAAUUAAUUGAAUUUUGAUAAUUUGUAUUAAUCUAUAAUAUAUAUAAAAAUUUAUUUACUAGAAGAAAUUACAAUAAAAAAUCUGUACAAUGAUGGUGUAGGAACAGUUGAUUGAUCAGUGAUUAUCCAUGUAAUAAUGUAUGUCUAUUUAAUUGACUGACAUUCCUGAACGUUUUUGGACACAUUUUACAAGUAAAUGGUUUUUCGCCAGUGUGACUACGCAUUUCGAACAAAAAAGUUAUCAACAUUCAAAACAUCGAAUCCCUACAGUCCCUGUUUGUUACCCAAUGAUCAAAAAGAAAUUGCGAGAUCAAGGUUUUUCUAUAGAAGUGGUUGGCACGUUCAAAUCACAUGUUUUCGAGGGAAAAAUGCUUGGAUAAUUAGUUCAAUCGCAUGCAAAUGUGUAUUGAUAUUAAUGGAGGAAUAUUUUGAAAAACAAUAAAGAAAUAUCCAAUUAUAAA
Molecule: long non-coding RNA, 616 nt
Organism: Diorhabda sublineata
Lineage: Eukaryota; Metazoa; Arthropoda; Insecta; Coleoptera; Chrysomelidae
Exons: 3
Source: RefSeq, a predicted model, not a curated record